This 671-nucleotide long non-coding RNA is filed under the name Mustela putorius furo (domestic ferret). RNAcentral's name for it is "lncRNA (ENSMPUG00000023904.1)". Lineage: Eukaryota; Metazoa; Chordata; Mammalia; Carnivora; Mustelidae. The record is from RNAcentral.
UUCUUUCUCACUCUGGUCCACAACAGGGUAGAGAGAAGGCCUGGCCUCACUUCCUUGCUCUGUAGCUUCCAGGAGCCCGCAGGGUGGCCAAGUUAGGAGAUGCCAGUAAGGACCUUCAUGCAGGAGACACAGAUCUGGAGAGUUCUCAAGGCUUCUCUGAAGGAAGUGUGAAGAUAUUGCUGAGAUUCCCAGAUUUUUAGAUCUUACAAACAAGCCACAAUGUGGAGAAAAUUUUUAAUGGAGGAUUAAGAAAAGAUGGCUCAAUGCAAAAGAAAUUUCUGGGGAAAAGCUUUUCCUGACCUGGCAGUUGCGUGUGGCCUGGCAUUCGGGAACAGUAGAAGUCCAUCUGGCGCUGCAGCAUUCGCUUCAAGUUCACACCAAAACAUAGAAGAAACUAAAGAGAGGGACGAAGAGCUCCUUCAUGGCCAUCUCCAAGUCCCCUAGGACCCCUGGGCUCCCCAGGGUCUUGGGACUGAGCCCAAUAUUGCGCUCCAGGUGCAGUAAGGAAUCUGAUUAGGAUUCUGUGUCUCCGUCUCCCUGUCCCCACCCCCACAUGCUCUCUCUCUCCUCCUAAAAAAUAAAUAAAUUGAUUUAAAAAUACUAUAUAAUUAUUAUAUUUCCAGAAUUACUUUUUUUUUUUUGAGAGGGGGCGCACGCCCGCGCGCACAGCC